This is a long non-coding RNA of Homo sapiens (human), 1673 nucleotides long. The record is from Ensembl. NCBI's taxonomy places the organism in Eukaryota, Metazoa, Chordata, Mammalia, Primates, Hominidae.
CUCCAUGUUGGUCAGGCUGGUGUCGAAGUCCUGACCUCAAGUGAUCCACCCGCCUCGGCCUCCCAAAGUGCUGGAAUUACAGGCGUGAGCCACGGUGCCUGGCCAAAAGUCUCCAUAUUAUUAAACAAUCUUCAGAAGCACAGUGCUGAAUGACUACAGUAAUAAUAUUCUGCCAUGGAUAUAUCAUAAUUUACUUAACAAUUCUUGUUUUAUUGGGCAUUUUUGAUGGAGGAUGAUGACAUUUUCAUAUUUAAUCAAUAUUUUAAAUUGAUGUAUUGAAAGUUGAGAACAUGAAGGUUUCUUUUGUUUAGUUUUGUUUGUUGGGUAUGUAUUACACUGUCUGACUUGAGCUUUAUUCACAUUUGCUCUCUAGGUUAUCCAAGGACAUGGAAAAGCCAACACCAUGGUAGCAUUAAUGAAAGUUUACCAAGAGGAAGAUGAAGCCUACCAGGAAUUAGUUACCAUGGCAACCAUGUUUUUCCAGUACUUACUGCAGCCAUUUAGGGCUAUGCGAGAAGUUGCAACUUUAUAAUUCCUUGGAUGAGGAUGACGUAGGUCCUACGUCUCCAGGAUAGUUGCCCUGGAGAAAGAAGCUGAAGAAUGGACCAGACGGGCUGAAGAAGCUGUUGUCUCUAUUCAAGAUAUCACAGUGAAUUAUUUUAAUUAGACAGUAAAAGCAUUAGCAGGAAUGCAAAAAGAAAUGGAACAGGAUGUGAAGAGAUUUGGCCAGGCUGCCUGGGCCACAGCAAUUCCCAGGUUGGAAAAACUUAAGCUAAUGCUAGCUCAAGAGACUCUGCAACUCAUGAGAGCGAAAGAAUUGUAUUUAAAUCGCAAAAGAGCUGAAAUUCAGGGAAAGAUGGAAGAUCUUCCAGAACAAGAAAAAAAUAUAAAUGUUGUAGAUGAAUUAGAAAUGCAAUUUUAUGAAAUUCAGUUAGAACUAUAUGAAGUUAAAUUUGAGAUAUUAAAAAACGAAGAAAUACUGCUUACUACACAGUUGGACUCUCUUAAAAGACUUAUAAAAGAUGAAAUUUAGAAUCAAGUUCAAAACAAAAAACUCUUUGGAAUUUUGAUUGUGAUUUUGCUUAAAAUUAGAGAUUACUUUGGGGAGAAUAGUGGUCUUUGCAAUUUUGAAUCUUCCUACCCAAGAACAUGAAAAACAGGAUGAAGUUGUCUAUUACGAUCCAUGUGAAAGUCCAGAGGAACUUAGUCAUUGACUGUGGUGGGGCUGCAGGACGAUAAGAAUUCGGAAGUGAAAGAACUCAGAAGGCAGUGCCAGCAGCUGGAGUCUGUUAAACGGGGCAGUCUGUGUCAAAAGAGCUUCUCUCCAGAGUAGAAAGGUAGGUACGCUCAGAGCGGCUUUCUUUUCUUUUCUCUUCCAGAGAUUUAUUCUUGUAUGAAGGAUAAAGAGGUAUUGAAAUAAGGUUUUUACCAACACAGUGAUUAAUUUUUUGUGUGCUUAUGUACUUAUCCAUGGCUAUAGUUAAAAUGAUUUUUAAUAUUUUUCUUAAAAAUAUUAUUUUUUUCUUUUGGGUUUUAAGCAUUUAGCAAAUCUCAAGGUUUUAAUUUAUUCAUUUAACAACUAUUUGUUGAAUGCCCACUGCAUACACAGGCACUUUUAUUUUUAUUUUUUUGAGACAGAGUCUUGCUCUGUCACCCAGGCUGGAGUGUGGAGG